RNAcentral lists this long non-coding RNA (6102 nucleotides) under Zea mays. Its description in RNAcentral is "long non-coding RNA (ZMAY_LNC002520)". Lineage: Eukaryota; Viridiplantae; Streptophyta; Magnoliopsida; Poales; Poaceae. The record is from RNAcentral.
UCGCCGCUUGCCUCUUCGUCCGUUGGUCGCGGUCCACAGAAAAGAAUCCCCAUCGCCAGGAGCCCUGCUUGUAUCUCCACUUAAGGCUAGCGUCCAUCUUUGGGUGAGGUAGGAAGGGUCUUUAGGCUAGAAAUACUUCCAUACGUUUAUUGUUCUACCGAACUUCUAGGAUUGUAAUUUGAUGCGGUUUUUAGUCAAGAAAUUCGGGUGGCCAGCGCCCUCGUUCUGCGUUUGUGUAGAGUAUUGAAGUUCAGUAAGUAGCUUCCUGGUAGUUAUAUAUUUUUUUGAAAACUUAGUGCAGGAGCUCUGCUAUUUCAUUUAAGGAGAGAAGGGAAACAAGAGUCUUAAAAAGUUGCUAUUACAUAUAACGAAAAACACUCAAACACAAUCCAAAAAAGAGAAGACAUUAUACUACACAUGGAUGCCCAACUGCAGCUCGUCUCAACGCCAUUUCUUGUUUGGCCAGAUGAAAGACCACUUGUGUCGAUGCUUGCUUGCCCUAAAAAAUACGCCGAUUCCGCUCCUUCCAAAUAUUCCAGGUGAAGUACAUAAGCAAACCCGAAACAGUGAGUUGAUCUUCUUUCGAUUUGUUUUGGAGCACAACAGCCCACCACGAAUCGAAGCUCUGAAUAUCUGAGCUGGGCGGCAUGAUCAGAUUAUUGGUCCACGACCUGACUAACUCCCACACUUCCAAAGCAAAAGGGCACUUGAGACAAAGGUGAAUCGCAGUCUCCGGCUCUUGAUCGCAAAGGACACAUAGAGGAUUGCAUGGCCAAUUUCUUUGACUUAGUUUAUCUGCUGUGAGGAUCUUUGCUUGAAUGAGCAGCCACACAAAGAACUUAUGUUUCCCUUCGGCGUGCGCCUUCCAGAUAGAUUUUGCUUUGAAAGCACUGUAAGAGCCCUUGAAUUGUGCAAGAUAAGCUGAUUUGGAAGAGUACACUCCAUUCUCGGUCCAUAUCCACCGAAUGCAAUCUUCCUGGUCAUUGAGCUGCACCCCUCAAUAUGGUUCCACAAUUGUAUGAAUUCAGCCAUCUGUUGAACAUUUUCCAUUCUCCAGAGACCUCUCGUCCAAUUGAGGUUAACCAAUUGUUCAGCCACCGAUCUAUUUUUGCGCCAUGCCAGGGGGUACAAGCUAGGUGCAAUGUCAAUCGGAGCUUUGCCUGAGAGCCAAGCAUCAAGCCAAAAAUUUGUCUUCAGUCCGUUGCCAACCGUUACAGAUGUUGAUGCCCGGAACAAAGCUGCAUCUAUUUUAUCACAGGGUAUCUGAGAACCAGCCCACGGCCUAUUAGAAUCAGUCCAGUUGAGCCAAAGCCACCUGAGGCGCAAAGCACGGCUGAAACGCUCUAGAUCCAAGAUGCCAAGGCCACCCAAGGAUUUCGGUCUGGCAGAAUUGGUCCAAUUCACUAGACAGUGCCCACCAUUAGCAUUUUCAGCACCUCUCCAAAGGAAAGACCUCCUAAUUUUAUCGAUCUUCUUAAUGGCCCACUUCUUCAAAGGGAAAACUGUCAAAAAAUGCACCGGGACAGCCGUGAGCACUGAAUUUACCAGAGUCAGUCUUCCAGCUUUAUCAAGCAGCUUCCCUUUCCAUGCCGAUAAUUUACCAGCCAAUUUGUCAAGCAGCGGCUGGAAAUCCACUCGACGCAAUGGUCGGCAAGUUAAAGGCAGCCCAAGGUACUUGCACGGAAAAGCUUUGAUGGCACACGGGAAAGGCUGCAUGAUAUGCUCUAGCUGCAGCGAGUCGCAGCGGAUAGGAUAGACAGCACAUUUACUCAGAUUGACAGAUAAACCUGAGGCUUCACUAAAAGCUGCUAGGAUCUGAUUAGUGACUUGAACUUCUUCUCUGAUCGGGUUGAUGAAUAUGGCGGCAUCAUCAGCAUAGAGGCUGACUCUCAAUCUAGCAGAGCGGUGAAGAAUAGGGCUGAGCAGACCCUCCCGAGAAGCAAUGUCAAACAGCCUCUGAACAGGGUCGAUGGCAAGAAUGAACAGCAAGGGAGACAAGGGGUCCCCCUGCCUCAAGCCCCUUCCAUGGUUGAAGAAAUUCCCUCUGACUCCAUUAAUCAUUACUGCAGAGCUAGCUGAUCUGAGCAGGAUGGACACCCAAGCUUUCCAUCUAUUUCCAAACCCCAAAUGAUGCAGGACCUCAAGAAGGUAGUCCCAUCUCACACUGUCAAAGGCCUUAGCAAUAUCCAAUUUCAGGAACAAAGUAGGGAUUUUUGCUCUAUUCAGCUCUUUAAUUAAAUUUUGCGUGAACAGGAAAUUAUCAUGUAUGCUCCGCUUCCGGAUGAAAGCACUAUGGCUUCUGGAUACUAGAUGAUCAAGACAGGGUGCCAGGCGGUUAGCCAACACUUUGGAAAUUAUCUUUGCUAUGCUGUGUGUGAGGCUGAUGGGUCUGAAGUCAGAAAUAAGUGCUGCCUCGUUGUUCUUCGGGAUCAGACAAAUAUGUGCAGAGUUAAGUUUGUUGAAGUGUUGGUCAUGCAUAUGAUAGAAAUAAUUCACAGCCAGCAAUAAAUCCUCUUUGACAAUUGCCCAAGCAGACCGAAAAAACACUCCAAUAAAGUCGUCUGGUCCAGGCGCCUUCUCAGCAUGAAGAUCAUUUAUCGCUGCUAGAACUUCCUCUUCAUCAAAAGGAGCCUCCAAGUGGGAAAGGUCAGCAGCCUGUAGCCCAAGAAAUUCCCAGUUCAAAGAGUUCGCCCGCACAGGAGAAAUGCCCAAUAAAUUGCUAUAAUGAUUGAAAGCGAGCUGCGCUUUAUCUUCCUGAGAGUAAACAUUCCCUGUCUCAGUUACAAAAUGCUGAAUGAAAUUCCUCCUGCGCCUGCCAUUUAUUCUGAGAAAGAAUAGCCUAGAAUUUGUGUGGGCUGCUUUGAUCAUUGUCAACCUGGACGCUUGUCGCGCCCUGAGUUUUUCUACCGCUGCGAGUCCCAAAAAUCUGUUUUGAGUUGCUUAUGUAACGUAAGCUCAAGGUUGCUUAGGGGUAUGUAAUCUUGGACCACAUCAAAAAUCCAAAUCAGUUGCUUAGCCGCAAGCAUCAGUAAUUUAUUAUUCCCAAUAAGAGCCUUGGACCACUUCCUGAGCGCUUUAGCAGUCCUCUACAGCUUUGUGUGCAAUCUUAAGAAAGGAUUAAAAAUUGUGAGCUGCCUGUUCCACGCAUUUUCCACCACAUUGCUGUAGCCACUAAGCUUUGGCCAAAAAGAUUCAAAACGGAAUCCCUUGUAUGGGCGCCUCAAGGUGUCACCAGAUAAAAACAGUGGACAGUGAUCAGAUACUAAGGAGGAUAGAGCCUGAACGGAGCAGCUAGGGAGCAUGAGGUCCCAGUCAUUAGAGCAGAAAGCUCUGUCGAUUCUAGUGUGAGUCCUAGAAUUAGUCCAAGUAAACCUCCUCCCUCUUAGGGGCAGCUCCUUCAGUUCUAGAUCAUUCAACACAGAUCUAAAGGCCCCCAUUAACCUCUUAUUUAAAUUGUUGUUGCUCUUAUCCUCGGCACUGAUGAUUAAAUUGAAGUCUCCAAUAAUUAACCACUUCUCUGCGGAGAUGCUACCCAGCUGCCUAAGCUCAUGCAAAAACUCUAACUUAUGAGCGUCGAGCUGCGGCCCAUAAACAACAAUAAUCCACCACUCGCUAGGUACACAGUUGGACUGAAUCAAGGCAGAAAUAAUGUUGCUUGUACAGGCUGUCGAGAGGAUCCGGAAGUAACUGGCAUGCACAGCUAGCAGAAUGCCGCCCCUCGUGCCAUCUGCGGGGAGAAAAGCAAAAUUCUGAAAGAAAUCAGGUCCAAGCGUCUCGGACACCACGACGUUGUCAACCUGCUGCAGUUUGGUCUCUUGUAAACAGGCAAUAGUGCACCUCGUAUCCCUGGCCAUAUCUAAAACCACCUUCCUCCUGGCACUGUUAUUUAAACCCCAGACGUUCCAGUUAAGGAUUGAGCAGUUUUGUGGAUCCAUGAGAACCAGAACAAACACAACACAACAAAUGGAAAACCAGGGACCACCACAAACAGCUGAACAAAGCUGUCCACCUUGCCCAAGCAAGGCACACCAAAAGUAAAGAUAUCACAAAAGCAAGUACUGAGGGGGGCACAUAGGGAAAGAUUAUUACACAGGUACACAACCGAUCAGAUUAGACCGUCCCCAGGACGGCUAACGGCGCAAGCGGGUCAGAGUCAAUUGAAUCUUCCUCUCCCAAGCUGAAAAGUGAUUGAUAGCCAGCAGCAGCUUCUACAUUCAGCUCAUCCACAAACUGUGCUCUGAACCUCGCAUGAUCUUGUUCAUUUGGUUCAGCAUGAUCAGGAAUAGUGCCACUGCGCUUCAUCAGCAAAGCAGUGGCCUGCUCCUCCAUUGUGAGGUUGGAUUUAGGCUUGCUGGCGAUUCUGGCACUGGAACGUGUUGCCAUCUUUUUCAUAGUCGAGGCACGCUUAGUUUUGUUGACAGGGGGCAGAGGGGUGGGCAGGACCGCCGAUGGUACGGGGGAGAGUAAAGAGGCAAGCACAUCCCUGUCCCCUUGAACUGCCACCGCACCAGCAACAUCAACAGCAAUAACACCAGCAUCAUUAGAAGGCCCGGACUCAGAAUGUGGGGGAGCAUUGUCAACCACAGCUGUAACCAUGGAAACAUGGGCAGGGGCCAGUGCAGCACCCCGCACCUCGUCCAACAUGGGGUCGCAAGAUGAAUCCCAGAUUACCGGAGUGCUUGAAAAAGAGAGCAGGAUAGGGUCGUGUUGGAGGACCAAGCUUGACUUGUUAUCAGUAUGUUCUGCAGCCCUGCGAAGAUUGCACGAUUGAAGCACCUUCAUCAUAGCAGCGAUGAUAGCACGUCUGAGCAGAUCAUGCUCAACACAGACUUCGCAAUGAUCUGCACGACUGAGCAGAUCAUGCUCAUAAACCGUCAUAGCAGCGGUGCACAGGACGCAGGCCUUCACGCCCUUCGUGCGGAAACCGGCCGCUCCUGACGCAAGCUUGGGGUCCUCCAAUGGGGUGGUGGUGAGGGGAGGCGCAAGCUGGGGAGAUGCAGGCCGGCAGUGCGGCGAAAUGCGUGGAGGAGAGCAAGGCGGAGAUGUGCAGGGAGGUGGGGGCGACGGCGAAUCUGAGCGAGGCGAGGCGGAGGAGGAGCGCGGCGGCAGGUGGCUAGGUUGCGGCGACAAGGGAAAAUCGGAUUGAAAUGGAGGACGGGCACAGUAGCGAGCUUUGUGGCCAGAUUGGCCGCACAGGAGGCAGCGCGGCGGGUCACGACAACCAGAGAUGCGAUGGUCACGGGCGAAGCAGUUGAAGCAUCUCCUGACAGCCUUCGACUUGAGCAGGGCGUUGAAGUCUACAAAGCGGGGACCCAGGCGGUCCCGGACCGGCGUGGCCCGCCGUGCAGCAGGAGGCUCCAGCGGACCAAGCCGAGAAUGCACGGGAAGACGCUUCUUCCUCCACCAGUAACACGGUCUGACCUCGUGCCAGGUAGCGCCGCCGCCCCGGGGCGGAGGCCGCAGGGGCUGUUGGCCGCCAUUACUGCCGGAAGGAGCACCAGCAGCCACAUCCUUGAAGGAGAGACCCCGGUUGUCAACCAGCACCGAACGGAGACGCGGGGCAGCCGGCUCCUUGUCCUUCACGUGCGCAGGUAGACGAGCAGCCAGUGCUUCAUCCACGGAUUUGGGGGUAACCCGAGCCGCGUUAGAUCUGCUAGCAGGGGCGGAGGACGGUUCACCUGGGCUUGAGGAGUAGUGGAGGUCGAGCGCUUCAAGGUCAUUUGGGGUGGUGGGGGAGCGGGAGGGUGAAGGCUGGUGGCGCUCGGGGCGACCUCCUGUCGCCGGCGAGCGGGGCGGGGAAAGGGAAAAAGCGAGCUUUGCGUUGCCCAUUAUCAGCCAGCUCCUGGUAGUUAUAGCUUGUUAUUGUAAUUUUGUAAUGCUUCGUAAUACCUUCCUUGCUAGUAGCAUAUACACAGGCAUUCAUAAUCAUGGCAUUUCAUGUAGAGUACCAAGAAGAAGUGAUUUGUGAAGGAGCCCGUUCCAGUUCUGCUGAUCAAGUGAAGGAGCCAUCUAACUGUGUAUUGGAUAGAGGGAUCUAGAGCCUCUUCACUGCAACAAAGGCAAGCCCCGGUGCAUUUACCCCUUCCUUGUAUUUUUAAAAAG